GACCCGUUUAAGCGAGGAAAUGUUUAUAUUUACAUUUCUUUUCCUUUUAUUUCUUUUUAUUUUCUUUUUAUUCCCGUUUUCUUCCUCGCUGAGACCCCCCGCGUGCCCGAGUGGUUCCCUUUCUUCUCCUUCUCGUUUCUUCUUAUUCUCUGCCGCCACUCCGACGCGGAGCUGAGCGAUCCUCCGGCAGCCACAUCUUCUUCCUUCUUCUUCCCCCGUCGCCGACUCCUAGCCCUAACCGGCGCCGACAAUUUCUUCUCCACUGCCCGCACCGGCGUCCUCUACGAUCUCCUCACGGCGCCACCUUUCCUCUGUGCCCUAGCCAGCCUCGGCCGACCAGCGACUUCUCCUCCCUUUCUCUGAUCCGACGAGCCACCGUCGACCGAAGUCUUCUUCCUCUUCCUCCCUGUCCAAGCGGCGGCGACGCACGGAGCACCGCCCUUUUCCCUGUGCCCUAGCGUCGGCUCGCCGCCAAGCCUAGCAUCUCCACCGACGUCGAGCAGUGCCGGCGACUCACCCCGUGCCCUAGCCGAGCCCUUGCUGUGGAGUUCACAGCCGCCAGCCACCGAGCACCUUCGAUUACUGCCAUCGUGCCCUAGCUACCCACCGGCGUCGCACGGAGCAGCGUCGCCUCUCGCUGUGCCGCCUCUCCGCUGUUCUUGAUCAUUCCUUCUUUGUGGUGAAGUUAGGUCACAGUUGGGUGGGGAAAAGAUUUUCCGUAGGGUUUGCUUUACUGUGGAUUUAUUCUAAUUCCAGCAGCAACUAUCUCUUGGCGUUGGAUCAGUGAUUACAGCUGUGGAAUUUAAGGACUUUGACGCGAGACGAGUAUCUCGGAGUCAGAUUGGACCUUUCUAUUUUCGGAGG
Long non-coding RNA from Zingiber officinale, 864 nucleotides. RefSeq lists it as uncharacterized. NCBI's taxonomy places the organism in Eukaryota, Viridiplantae, Streptophyta, Magnoliopsida, Zingiberales, Zingiberaceae. The record is from RefSeq and is a predicted model, not a curated record. The transcript has 3 exons.